AAUUGACCUCGGAUCAGGUAGGGAUACCCGCUGAACUUAAGCAUAUCAAUAAGCGGAGGAAAAGAAACCAACAGGGAUUGCCUCAGUAACGGCGAGUGAAGCGGCACCAGCUCAAAUUUGAAAUCUGGCCCCUUCGGGGUCCGAGUUGUAAUUUGUAGAGGAUGUUUCGGGCGCGGCGCCGGUCUAAGUCCCUUGGAACAGGGCGUCAUAGAGGGUGAGAAUCCCGUAUGUGACUGGUGACCAACCCCAUGUGAAACCCCUUCGACGAGUCGAGUUGUUUGGGAAUGCAGCUCAAAAUGGGUGGUAAAUUUCAUCUAAAGCUAAAUACCGGCCAGAGACCGAUAGCGCACAAGUAGAGUGAUCGAAAGAUGAAAAGCACUUUGGAAAGAGAGUCAAACAGUACGUGAAAUUGUUGAUAGGGAAGCGCUUGCGACCAGACCUGCUUGGCGGGUGUUCAGCGGGCAUUCGUGCCCGUGCACUCGUCCGCCAUCAGGCCAGCAUCGGUUUUGGCGGCCGGAUAAAGACCGGAGGAAUGUAGCUUCGCUUCGGGGAAGUGUUAUAGCCUUCGGUGCCAUACGGCCAGCCGGGACCGAGGACCGCGCUUCGGCUAGGAUGCUGGCGUAAUGGUCGUAAGCGACCCGUCUUGAAACACGGACCAAGGAGUCUAACAUUUAUGUGAGUGUUUGGGUGUCAAACCCAUGCGCGUAAUGAAAGUGAACGGAGGUGGGAACCUGUCACAGGGCGCACCAUCGACCGAUCCAGAAGUUUACGGAUGGAUUUGAGUAAGAACAUAACUGUUGGGACCCGAAAGAUGGUGAACUAUACCUGAAUAGGGUGAAGCCAGAGGAAACUCUGGUGGAGGCUCGCAGCGGUUCUGACGUGCAAAUCGAUCGUCAAAUUUGGGUAUAGGGGCGAAAGACUAAUCGAACCAUCUAGUAGCUGGUUCCUGCCGAAGUUUCCCUCAGGAUAGCAGUAACGUUUUCAGUUUUAUGAGGUAGAGCGAAUGAUUAGAGGCCUUGGGGCUGAAACAGCCUUAACCUAUUCUCAAACUUCUAAUAUGUAAGAAGUCCUUGUUACUUAGUUGAACGUGGACAUUUGAAUGCACCG
RNAcentral lists this ribosomal RNA (1107 nucleotides) under Tylothallia biformigera. RNAcentral describes it as "LSU rRNA". It matches the Rfam family "Eukaryotic large subunit ribosomal RNA", at positions 1 to 1119 of the family's 3401-position model. Lineage: Eukaryota; Fungi; Ascomycota; Lecanoromycetes; Lecanorales; Ramalinaceae. The record is from RNAcentral.